AUACGGAGGGUGCAAGCGUUAUUCGGAAUCACUGGGCGUAAAGCGCGCGCAGGCGGCUAUUUAAGUUGGAUGUGAAAGCCUAUGGCUCAACCAUAGAACUGCAUCCAAAACUAUUUAGCUAGAGUGUGGGAGAGGAAGAUGGAAUUAGUUGUGUAGGGGUAAAAUCCGUAGAGAUAACUAGGAAUACCAAAAGCGAAGGCAAUCUUCUGGAACACUACUGACGCUGAGGCGCGAAAGCGUGGGGAGCAAACAGGAUUAGAAACCCUAGUAGUCC
RNAcentral lists this ribosomal RNA (274 nucleotides) under uncultured bacterium. RNAcentral describes it as "partial 16S ribosomal RNA". It matches the Rfam family "Bacterial small subunit ribosomal RNA", at positions 523 to 796 of the family's 1533-position model. The record is from RNAcentral.